GUUUAAUCAAUAAUAGUUAAUUUGUGAAUACAUCUUAAUUUACUUUAACUAAUCCUCAGGUGUGUAGAUCUCUAGAGUGUGGUUGUGAUUUGGUGAAUACCUUGGUUGUGGCGUUGUGUGAUGAGGCCUUCCUGAAGGGUGUGUUGUCAGUAACUACACUGCAAGACACAGACAUUAUACAUUUAUAGUAAUG
Molecule: long non-coding RNA, 193 nt
Organism: Sander lucioperca (pikeperch)
Lineage: Eukaryota; Metazoa; Chordata; Actinopteri; Perciformes; Percidae
Exons: 2
Source: RefSeq, a predicted model, not a curated record